UCUUCUAAUUCUUUAUCUGUUUGAUAUGUUUCUUCUUUUUGAGAGUUUCUCAAAUAUUUUCUAAUUCCCUCUAUGGUGUUCACAUAUUCAAAGUGUGAGUUUCGUUCUGGUCAGUUUUUCCUUGCAUCUGUUUUAUUGUUUGUUGCACCGUUUUAGUUGCUAAUCGCUAUCUGCUGGGUAUAUAUUAGUCUCCUACUCUCUCUCUCUCUCACUCCCUUUUUGGAUUCUUUUUGGUAUCUGAUAUUCUCAUACAUGUUUGGUAUCUGAUCCUUAGUGCAACAAAGAUUGAAGAUUGUUUUCCCUGAUUACAUUUUGCAUCUCUAACUUUUUAUGGAGGUGAUUCAAUCCUCACUGAUCAGUGAUCUUUAGGAGAUUUUUUUUUGCUGGUGAUUUCUUCCCAUCUUUAUUGACAUAUUAAUUAGACCUGCUAGAAUUUGAGAGAAACAAAUGUUGGGUGAGCGUAUAACAUUAAUUGAGAUUUUUCUGUUAUUAAUAUCUGUUAUUAUUUGUGAUGUUUCGAUUGAGUUUAUUUUGGUAAUUAAGUGGCUUACUGUUGAAGAACCAUGCAUUCAAUUAUUCAAAUCCAUCAACUUACUUUCUUUAACUUUGCAUAAUUUCUUUUGUAAUUUGAUUCUGCGACUUAACUGAUUUUUUUUUAAUUUCUCGAAGGAUCAGAAUCAGUACUAAAAUGAUCUUCUUUAGAAAGUAGUCUCACUGGCAUAUUGUUUAUGUGAGUGAUUAUUUUUUACUUUUUUCUGUGAGUGAUUAUUCUAAAUUGAUCUUACUGAGAUGAAGUGGGUUAAUAAUUGCUACAAUUUCUAGUGAUCUUGGACAAAAGUUGCUCUCAAUGACAGCUGAAGAAAUCUACACAACAAUUUUCGUCAAGAUGAAGAUCCUCUGCGUUAAGCAUGUCCAAGAACAACCGUCAGACCAACUGUUUCGAAUUCAAUUGAAAAAAAUAUUCUGGAGAAAUUAUGACAACUUGCAUGCUAGCUAGACUAUUGGGUUUAUCUUAUAUUGAAAAAGUAACAUAUCUUUCCAACAAGUUCUGGUGAAAGAAACAAAAGGAAAUGAAGUUUCCAAGCACAGUUGGACGAGAAAUGGAAGAAGCAGUUACAAAAUCUGAAAUUACACGUGACGCUGAAACUAGAACCACCAACAAGAAUAUAUAGAAGAUAAGCCAUGUUUAGUAUUUUUAGAUCAAAAUUCUUGGUUAGCCAAACUUCAGCUUAUGAAGCUUGAUUAUCAUAUGAAUUCUUUAGAUACAAUGUUCGUAAUAACCUCUAAUGUAGUUAGAUCUUUAGCUAUUCUUAUCAAGUAUAACUAUCAUAAAAUCCUUCUGAUUUUUCUGACUA
Non-coding RNA from Nicotiana tabacum (common tobacco), 1355 nucleotides. The record is from RefSeq and is a predicted model, not a curated record. NCBI's taxonomy places the organism in Eukaryota, Viridiplantae, Streptophyta, Magnoliopsida, Solanales, Solanaceae.